GGAUAGCUUGAGUUAGGGCAUACUACAACAACAACUACGACAUAUCCAGUGUGAUCUCACAAGUUGCGUUAGAGCAUACUAGUGAAAACAAAUCCGAAACAACAUUGCAGUAAUGAGUUAAGAGGCGAAGCUCAGAAGAAGAAAAACGUAGUAGCAACAGUUGUCGGUGUUUGGGCCAGCUUGUGUGCGCCUUUAACUAAUUCCACACGGUACCUACUACCUCCUACGAGCAUAGGUACCAGAUAACUCUGUCCGCCAAGGCUUAGCAGCGGUAGCAUUAUUAUAGUAGGAAGAAGAGUAGACUAGCAUUAUUACAGUUGUCGGUGUUUGGGGCAGCUCUUGUGCGCCUUUAACUAAUUCCACACGGUACCUACUACCUCCUACAAGCACAGGUACCAGAUAACUCUGUCCGCCAAGGCUUAGCAGCGGUAGCAUUAUUAUAGUAGGAAGAAGAGUAGACUAGCUCGUUGAGUUUAGAAAAUUACCACGUGC
RNAcentral lists this long non-coding RNA (492 nucleotides) under Capsicum annuum. Its description in RNAcentral is "long non-coding RNA (CANN_LNC002417)". The record is from RNAcentral. Lineage: Eukaryota; Viridiplantae; Streptophyta; Magnoliopsida; Solanales; Solanaceae.